Molecule: unclassified non-coding RNA, 89 nt
Filed under: Pseudomonas gessardii
Lineage: Bacteria; Pseudomonadati; Pseudomonadota; Gammaproteobacteria; Pseudomonadales; Pseudomonadaceae
Source: RNAcentral
UGUGGGAGCGGGCUUGCCCGCGAUUGCGGUGGGUCAGCCAGCCAAUGGGUUACUGAUAGGCUGCCAUCGCGGGCAAGCCCGCUCCCACA